UUGAACGCUGGCGGCAUGCCUUACACAUGCAAGUCGAACGGCAGCACGGGGGCGACCCUGGUGGCGAGUGGCGAACGGGUGAGUAACGCAUCGGAACGUACCCGGAAGUGGGGGAUAACGUAGCGAAAGUUACGCUAAUACCGCAUAUUCUGUGAGCAGGAAAGAGGGGGAUCGCAAGACCUCUCGCUUCCGGAGCGGCCGAUGUCGGAUUAGCUAGUUGGCGGGGUAAAGGCCCACCAAGGCGACGAUCCGUAGCGGGUCUGAGAGGACGACCCGCCACACUGGAACUGAGACACGGUCCAGACUCCUACGGGAGGCAGCAGUGGGGAAUUUUGGACAAUGGGGGCAACCCUGAUCCAGCCAUUCCGCGUGAGUGAAGAAGGCCUUCGGGUUGUAAAGCUCUUUCAGCAGGAGCGAAACGGUCGUUUUUAAUACAGACGGCUAAUGACGGUACCUGCAGAAGAAGCACCGGCUAACUACGU
This 482-nucleotide ribosomal RNA is filed under the name uncultured bacterium. Its description in RNAcentral is "bacterial SSU rRNA". It matches the Rfam family "Bacterial small subunit ribosomal RNA", at positions 29 to 506 of the family's 1533-position model. The record is from RNAcentral.